Molecule: ribosomal RNA, 391 nt
Filed under: uncultured bacterium
Lineage: Bacteria
Description: bacterial SSU rRNA
Rfam family: Bacterial small subunit ribosomal RNA
Source: RNAcentral
AUUGAACGCUGGCGGCAUGCUUUACACAUGCAAGUCGAACGGCAGCACGGGUGCUUGCACCUGGUGGCGAGUGGCGAACGGGUGAGUAAUGCAUCGGAACGUGCCCAUGAGUGGGGGAUAGCCCGGCGAAAGCCGGAUUAAUACCGCAUACGCCCUUAGGGGGAAAGCGGGGAUCUUCGGACCUCGCGCUAUUGGAGCGGCCGAUGUCGGAUUAGCUAGUAGGUGAGGUAAAGGCUCACCUAGGCGACGAUCCGUAGCUGGUCUGAGAGGAUGAUCAGCCACACUGGGACUGAGACACGGCCCAGACUCCUACGGGAGGCAGCAGUGGGGAAUUUUGGACAAUGGGCGCAAGCCUGAUCCAGCCAUGCCGCGUGAGUGAAGAAGGCCUCGG